Molecule: ribosomal RNA, 258 nt
Filed under: uncultured bacterium
Lineage: Bacteria
Description: partial 16S ribosomal RNA
Rfam family: Bacterial small subunit ribosomal RNA
Source: RNAcentral
UGGCGGACGGGUGAGUAACGCGUGGAAAACCUGCCGUAUACUGGGGGAUAACACUUAGAAAUAGGUGCUAAUACCGCAUAGGCGCACAGCUUCGCAUGAAGCGGUGUGAAAAACUCUGGUGGUAUACGAUGGUUCCGCGUCUGAUUAGCUAGUUGGUGGGGUAAUGGCCUACCAAGGCAACGAUCAGUAGCCGGCCUGAGAGGGUGAACGGCCACAUUGGGACUGAGACACGGCCCAAACUCCUACGGAAGGCAGCAG